AUUGAACGCUGGCGGCAUGCCUUACACAUGCAAGUCGAACGGCAGCACGGGUGCUUGCACCUGGUGGCGAGUGGCGAACGGAUGAGUAAUGCAUCGGAACGUACCUUAUCGUGGGGGAUAACGCAGCGAAAGCUGUGCUAAUACCGCAUACGCCCUGAGGGGGAAAGCGGGGGAUCGCAAGACCUCGCGCGAUUAGAGCGGCCGAUGCCUGAUUAGCUUGUUGGUGGGGUAAAAGCCCACCAAGGCGACGAUCAGUAGCUGGUCUGAGAGGACGAUCAGCCACACUGGGACUGAGACACGGCCCAGACUCCUACGGGAGGCAGCAGUGGGGAAUUUUGGACAAUGGGGGCAACCCUGAUCCAGCAAUGCCGCGUGAGUGAAGAAGGCCUUCGGGUUGUAAAGCUCUUUUGUCAGGGAAGAAACACCGGCUCUAACACAGUCCGGGAAUGACGGUACCUGAAGAAUAAGCACCGGCUAACUACGUGCCAGCCGCCGCCGUAA
This 501-nucleotide ribosomal RNA is filed under the name uncultured bacterium. RNAcentral's name for it is "partial 16S ribosomal RNA". It matches the Rfam family "Bacterial small subunit ribosomal RNA", at positions 29 to 523 of the family's 1533-position model. The record is from RNAcentral.